Molecule: ribosomal RNA, 274 nt
Filed under: uncultured bacterium
Lineage: Bacteria
Description: partial 16S ribosomal RNA
Rfam family: Archaeal small subunit ribosomal RNA
Source: RNAcentral
AAACCAGCACCUCAAGUGGUCAGGAUGAUUAUUGGGCCUAAAGCAUCCGUAGCCUGCUCUGUAAGUUUUCGGUUAAAUCUGUACGCUCAACGUACAGGCUGUCGGGAAUACUGCAGAGCUAGGGAGUGGGAGAGGUAGACGGUACUCGGGAGGAAGUGGUAAAAUGCUUUGAUCUCUCGAUGACCACCUGUGGCGAAGGCGGUCUAUCAGAACACGUCCGACGGUGAGGGAUGAAAGCUGGGGGAGCAAACCGGAUUAGAAACCCCGGUAGUCC